Molecule: long non-coding RNA, 241 nt
Filed under: Mytilus galloprovincialis (Mediterranean mussel)
Lineage: Eukaryota; Metazoa; Mollusca; Bivalvia; Mytilida; Mytilidae
Source: RNAcentral
GAGAGUAUUACCUUUCUGACAACAACAAGUUUGAGAGAGGAGUUUGUAAAAGUGAAAAUUCACUUGUUUUCAAAUCCGAAAAAGAUUGUCAUAAUGUAAUAUUUACGUUAUUUAUUUUGAAAUAAAAUAUUGUUUACACUCACAACAAUUAGAAAUGCCAAUUGAUAUCAAAUAAGAUGUAAUUAAAAAAAAAACUAAAUUAAAAUCACUACUCGAUUAUUCCAGAUCUCAUACUACUAUC